Rhincodon typus (whale shark) is the source of this 440-nucleotide long non-coding RNA. RefSeq lists it as uncharacterized. NCBI's taxonomy places the organism in Eukaryota, Metazoa, Chordata, Chondrichthyes, Orectolobiformes, Rhincodontidae. The record is from RefSeq and is a predicted model, not a curated record. The transcript has 3 exons.
GGGGUGGGGCCGGUCGAGGCAGUCGCAGUUGUUGGGGGGAGCGCUUCGUGGGAGGUGGGCGCAAGCGCACUCCAGCUGGUGGGUUGGCGGUUGGUACGGAAGCCUUUGGCGGAGCGGGACGGAUUGUGAGAAAACGAAACGAAAGGGGGAGGGAGGGAGUGAGUGAGCUGGCAACGAGGAGGCAGUGGAGGUGGCGUCGUCGUUAAGUCCCGCUCGUUACCGGAGAGAAAAAAGGAUGAGUUUGGACAAAGCUGAGCUCUGCGACAGCCUCUUACUAUGGCUCCAGACAUUUCGUGUGCCAUUGCCCUGCACCACCAAAGAGCAGCUGACCAGUGGAGUUGCAAUUGCUCAAGUCCUUAAUCAUAUUGAUCCUUCUUGGUUUAAUGAGACCUGGUUAGGGCGUAUAAAGGAAGACAUCAGUGACUGGAGGCUGAAGGUAU